UUUCCGUAGGUGAACCUGCGGAGGGAUCAUUACAGAGUUCAUGCCCUACCGGGUAGAUCUCCCACCCUAUGUUAUUAUUACUUUGUUGCUUUGGCGGGCCGUUAGGCUCCGGCCCGACUACCGGCCCCGGCUGGUAAGCGCCCGCCAGAGGACCCAAAACCCUGAAUAUUAGUGUCGUCUGAGUACUAUAUAAUAGUUAAAGCUUUCAACAACGGAUCUCUUGGUUCUG
This 229-nucleotide unclassified non-coding RNA is filed under the name plant metagenome. Its description in RNAcentral is "partial contains small subunit ribosomal RNA, internal transcribed spacer 1, and 5.8S ribosomal RNA". The record is from RNAcentral.